RNAcentral lists this small nuclear RNA (163 nucleotides) under Castor canadensis (American beaver). RNAcentral's name for it is "U1 spliceosomal RNA (ENSCCNG00000021700.1)". It matches the Rfam family "U1 spliceosomal RNA". Rfam says of the family: U1 is a small nuclear RNA (snRNA) component of the spliceosome (involved in pre-mRNA splicing). Its 5' end forms complementary base pairs with the 5' splice junction, thus defining the 5' donor site of an intron. The record is from Rfam by way of RNAcentral. Lineage: Eukaryota; Metazoa; Chordata; Mammalia; Rodentia; Castoridae.
AUACUUACCUAGCGGGGGAGAUACCAUGAUACCAAGGAGGUUUUCCCAGGGAGAGGCUUAUCCAUUGCACUCCAGAUGUGCUGACCCCAGUGAUUUCUCCAAAUGUGGGAAACUCGACUGCAUAAUUUGUGGUAGCAGGGGACUGUGUUCAUGCUCUCUCCUU